Molecule: RNA transcript, 969 nt
Organism: Sorghum bicolor (sorghum)
Lineage: Eukaryota; Viridiplantae; Streptophyta; Magnoliopsida; Poales; Poaceae
Exons: 4
Source: RefSeq, a predicted model, not a curated record
CUGACCGUCGGCUCCUUCCUAUCCCCUCCCUUAUCCUCUCACGGUCUCUCCUUCGGUCCUUCCCAUGUCGACUCCAUGUGGGUGGCCGCCGUUCUUCUCUUCCAGUCAAAUCCACGACGAGGCGGCUGCACCCUUCUCCUCCGGCCAGAUCCAUGCCAUGGGAACCUCCCUUCUUCUUCUCCAGCCAGAUCCACAACGUGGUGGCUGCGCCCUUCUCCCCCAGCCAGAUCCAUGCCAUGGGAACCUUAGGAAGCUCCGCCGCCUCAUCCUUGACGCCAAGCUCACGCCCUUCCACCGGGGCGCCGACGACGCGCGCGCCGACCUCGACGAGUGCCCAUCUACUUCCUGGUAACCAUCCUCUUCCCCAUCUGCCCCAGAUGCAGUUCUACACUAACUACUCCUCGUUGUGCUGCUCUGUGGCGACGCCGAGGCAUCCGGGCCUUCCUCUAGGUUUCAUCUCCAAGGACGUAGGUCCCCGGCUACUGCGCGUGCCGUGUCGUACAACUCCCCAAGCGAGGAGGAGCCACCAGUCCUGCUGCUCCUCCAUUUUCUAUAUUUACUGAAUUUGAGUUCUUGUAACUGAAUUGCACGUGACUUUGCUUGACGAAUGGCUGCUUGGACAAUACUUUGAUAAAUAAACAAAGGUAAACAUAGUCCGAUGCAGAAACUAUCAUGACACUCCAAAACAAUUCUUGUCCCAUGAUUUUGCUUCAAGUAGCACAUCUUAUGGACAGCAAGUGAAUUGAAGUGCUCGUGAAUAGUAAUGUUUAGUUGUUUAGACUCCCUACAUAUCAAAUCUUUUAGUUCAAACUUAGAUAUUGUGAUAGUCACUCUAAUGGUUGUGAGCUAGGCCAAUCUAUGGCUUGAUGUUCAAUGUGGCUGUUGUGGACAUGCUAGUACAUGAAUGAAUUAUUGUUUGGUGAAUCUUACGAGUUGUGAUGCAUGUUGAUGAAGUGAUAAUUUGGCACU